CGGGACGGGUGAGUAAUGUCUGGGAAACUGCCUGAUGGAGGGGGAUAACUACUGGAAACGGUAGCUAAUACCGCAUAACGUCGCAAGACCAAAGAGGGGGACCUUCGGGCCUCUUGCCAUCGGAUGUGCCCAGAUGGGAUUAGCUAGUAGGUGGGGUAACGGCUCACCUAGGCGCGAUCCCUAGCUGGUCUGAGAGGAUGACCAGCCACACUGGAACUGAGACACGGUCCAG
Molecule: ribosomal RNA, 232 nt
Filed under: uncultured bacterium
Lineage: Bacteria
Description: partial 16S ribosomal RNA
Rfam family: Bacterial small subunit ribosomal RNA
Source: RNAcentral